UAAACUUAACUGUGAGCAUAGGAUUUUAGGAGAAUGGGAAAGGAAACAGGACAAAGCUUUAACUUUAAAUCUAACUUGAUUCAUUUCUGAAAGAAACAGAGAGGAGAGACUGAAUGCAGCUAGCAUCCUUCUCAAGGAACAGUGUUGUGCUCUGCUCUCUACCUCCACCUGUGACAGAGCUCAGCACUUCAUGGCUCACAAGUUUCUCCUUGCAGUGGAGUUUCUGCUGCAUCUGUUUCAUCCUCAGCACUACCUGACUGGGGGUCUGGAGGUUCCCUUGAGACAAGGGCAGAUGCAGAUAACAAACACAACUUCCUAACCUGUGUUCAUCACAUCAUGGUAAUGAUUCCUAGGUAGUCAGCCCCAGAUUUUUUUCCGCAGUUCUUCCUAUCUGGGCUUUGUUGUUCUUCAAAACCUGGUUGCCUUCUUACCCUUUAUUCAGGAAGGCAGAAAUGUACAUCUCAUCUUUGUGUAUUUCAAGAAGUCUUAGAUAUCUGGGAUGCCUCAAGCCACACGGGAACUGGGAGAUCAAAUGUAUAUUUAUGCACUUUGCUGUCACGUGAGGGCAGAGGUAUAGGCUGUUAAUUCCUGGAAAAGUUAUUAUGAGAAACUCCAAAAAUUUGGGCUCUGAGUUAAUUUGGUGCUGAAUGGACAUGAGAGCCAUGAGCAGAGCUAGCAGGAGACCAGCUGUGGGAGAUGUGGAGAUGGGUGCCCAUCUGAUAGAGCCUUUCCUGUAUCCUUCUCUGUUCCCUGGAUGUGCCUUUAGCUGGGUGUUACCUAGCAGAACAGGUUUAAUGCCUUAAUCAUCACAUGAUUUGUCAGCACAGGAUUAGCAAUUUGAGUUUUGCAAUGACCUGAUGAGCAUGCAGUUGUGCACUUGCUGUUCCUGAAAUGCCACCUCUCAGAAGGACAGGAGGGUGUUUAUGAAGAUUUUAAUAAAGGAGUUAACUAAGAAAUGUGUGCUAAGGGACAGCUUCUUUUUUAAUGAAGAAAAUCACCAGUGUCCCAUUUGCAAGAUAUUUCCAUGUAUUCAAGAGCCUUUUAAAGGUGCAAUGUACAUUCCUUCUUUCUCAUCUUAGGUUUUGCAUCUCUGAAGAAGUGAGGAGACAGGUAAAGGUAACAAACUGCUUUGUUAGUGAAGGCAUAGAGAUGAAAAGAAAUAUUCUUGCUUGAUUUUUGAAGGCAUGGAAGAUUCUUUCUGUUGUUGCUGCUAUGUGCAUGUUAUUGCCAUUCAGAAGACAUGAGCGUGUCAGAAUAAGUGGCUCUGGCUGGCUGGCUGUUGCCAGCCUUGAUGUGUGUUUUGGAAGUAGUAUUUCGAUUUGUUUGAUCACAGCAUGUUCUCACUGCAAAAGACAUGAUUUCCCCAGUGCUCAUCAUGGCACUGCAGUCUUUUCUGUACCUUUCUUUGUCAUGAAGAGUAUCUCAGAGUACUGGAAGAAAAACAGAAGUAUAAGGCUCUGAAAAUUACGUUACAUGGCAGCAGUACUUCGUAAAAGCCAGCUCUUGUCUGGUUGGUCACUGGGACAAGAAGCUAAGAAGGGGAGCCAAAAUGGAGUGCACCUGCACCCUUCAUGGGAUCCUGGCUACAUCGUACUCCCUAGGAUCAUAAGCUCAGGCUUUUUUGUGUUUGGUUUCUGUUUUAUGUGAUGAGGAUUAAUGAUGGAUACCACCUGAACCAUGUAUUUCAAUCUACAUCUAAAGCAUGAUCUGUAUCAACUGAAUGCUCUUAUCUCGCUCUUCACUUGAAUUUACACUGAAACCAUUUGCAUUGUGCUAUUGCUAACUCUAACUCAUCUCCAAAGUCCUUUAUCAUAAAACACUUAUUUUUCUUGCCUGAUCAUUAUUUUCACGUAAGAAAUACACAUGGCAAAAUGAAUGCCCACUGUGUCAGCCCGUGAGUAAUGGACUCUUUGUGGACACAAUCGGAUCAGGAAAUGUGCCUUUUGUUUUCCUGCACCUGUUGCUGUACUACAAAUAAAAUCAUCCAAUGUUUUAUUAAAUAAAACGAGAAGCCCUAAUGAAAUUGUACCAGCCAUUACCAGGAAGUCUAUUGAAAACAUUCAGCAGCUGCUCAGCCUGAGUUUGUUUACACUGAUAAGGCUGUUUUGUCCCAUUCCUUAUGUGCGAAGUGAAGAAGCUACAGUGCAGUCCUAGUGUGCAGCAGAGCCUUGGAGUGUUUCAUACCACUCUCUUCAAGUUCCUUUUAAAGUAUUUGGUUAUAAUCUGUGAUGUUACGUAUUUGUGGAUCUAUUGUGAAGAAUUUAAACUCGAGUACAUGAAAGCAAAGCAAUACGGGCCUUCCAGAAGUUGAGCCAAAGCCAUGAGCUCCUUCAGCAGGGCUGGCCCAAAAGGCCACGUGCAGAGGGGUCUGUUCCAUGAAAGGGAGGAUGGUGUGUAAAUUAGGGUGGACUGAAGACCUGUAUUUAACCCCAACUAAUGGCGGUGCAUAGCAGCAUAGGGGGAAUGGAUUAGAACAAGGGAAAUUUGGGGGGAAGGAGGUAGCCCUGUUACGAAGAGCCGGACUGUGCAGCAUACAGCCAGGUCCAUCCAGUGAUGAAAGAGCUGGUCUGUCCUCAUGGUGACAGUGGUGACAGCUCCAUGGAAGAGAACAGUAGGUACUGAUGCUUCUCUUUUCCACAGUGGUUGUUUUUCCAGGUGGUACUUUUGUUUUAGUUGGUAAAUUGCUUAGGUUGGUGGUUGCUGCACAGAUAGUGACACAGGAUAGUGAUGGGGAAGCACCUCAGCAACUGCAUGAGGGACAUAAAGGGCAGGGAAGGGCUGCAUGGAAGAUGGAAAGGAUUUACUGUGUACACUGAGCUCACUUGAAUUGAGGCUGCCAACAGAUCCAAGGUGGAUUCUGACAGGGAUGUCCAACUUCUGCCAGUAGAACAGCUGCAUUUGGAAGAUAUUCCUCCAUUGCCUGGUGCUUCGGAUGCCAACUGUGAGGUCUGAAUGUUGCCUUGCUGUCUGUGUGACCCUACUAGAGAAGACAAAUUCACAGAGCAGCUGGAAGGGUACAUGCUAUGGUCACCCUACGUGCUGGCAGUUAAGGCAGUACCAAUAAGAAGACAUUUACUUUGCAAUAAGUGAUGUAAGAAGUGGCCCAACAGGGAGGUACAUGUUGGGGGCCUGAAGGAGUCAAUGAAUCCCACAUCUGCUGUAAGGUUUGGCAGGAACCAAAAGUGAUGCCUUCCUCCAGUGAUGAGCCAGAUA
Phasianus colchicus (ring-necked pheasant) is the source of this 3213-nucleotide long non-coding RNA. RefSeq lists it as uncharacterized. The record is from RefSeq and is a predicted model, not a curated record. NCBI's taxonomy places the organism in Eukaryota, Metazoa, Chordata, Aves, Galliformes, Phasianidae.